This 255-nucleotide ribosomal RNA is filed under the name uncultured bacterium. RNAcentral's name for it is "partial 16S ribosomal RNA". It matches the Rfam family "Bacterial small subunit ribosomal RNA", at positions 526 to 779 of the family's 1533-position model. The record is from RNAcentral.
CGUAGGGCGCGAGCGUUGUCCGGAAUUAUUGGGCGUAAAGAGCUCGUAGGCGGCUUGUCGCGUCGGUUGUGAAAGCCCGGGGCUUAACCCCGGGUCUGCAGUCGAUACGGGCAGGCUAGAGUUCGGUAGGGGAGAUCGGAAUUCCUGGUGUAGCGGUGAAAUGCGCAGAUAUCAGGAGGAGCACCGGUGGCGAAGGCGGAUCUCUGGGCCGAUACUGACGCUGAGGAGCGAAAGCGUGGGGGAGCGAACAGGAUU